CCUACGGGAGGCAGCAGUGGGGAAUAUUGCGCAAUGGGGGAAACCCUGACGCAGCAACACCGCGUGCGGGAUGAAGGCUUUCGGGUUGUAAACCGCUUUCAGCAGGGAAGAUAAUGACGGUACCUGCAGAAUAAGCACCGGCUAACUACGUGCCAGCAGCCGCGGUAAUACGUAGGGGGCAAGCGUUAUCCGGAUUCAUUGGGCGUAAAGAGCGCGCAGGCGGGCCGCUAAGCCGGACCUCUAAUCUUGGGGCUAAACCUCAAGCCGGGUCCGGAACUGGCAGCCUCGAGUGCGGUAGGGGUAAGCGGAAUUCCUGGUGUAGCGGUAGAAUGCGUAGAGAUCGGGAAGAAUACUGAUGGCGAAGGCAGCCUGCUGGGCCGACACUGACGCUGAGGCGCGAAAGCUAGGGGAGCGAACAGGAUUAGAUACCCCGGUAGUC
RNAcentral lists this ribosomal RNA (439 nucleotides) under uncultured bacterium. Its description in RNAcentral is "partial 16S ribosomal RNA". It matches the Rfam family "Bacterial small subunit ribosomal RNA", at positions 338 to 795 of the family's 1533-position model. The record is from RNAcentral.